This 1425-nucleotide ribosomal RNA is filed under the name Triticum aestivum (bread wheat). RNAcentral's name for it is "partial small subunit ribosomal RNA". The record is from RNAcentral. Lineage: Eukaryota; Viridiplantae; Streptophyta; Magnoliopsida; Poales; Poaceae.
AUGGUGCUGGAUGCAUUUGCAUUCUACUUGGGCAACUUGCUCAGGCAGGUGGCAGCAGAAGAGCUGGGAAUGAUGUUGGGCGUCUCCGGCGAGAUUGACAAGAUGGGUGACAAGCUUCGGGACCUCAAAAACUUCCUCGCCGAUGCCGAUAGGAGGAACAUCACCGACGAGACUGUCCAAGAGUGGGUGGGGGAGCUUAAACGUGCCAUGUAUGAAGCUGCUGAUAUCAUCGACCUUUGCCAGCUCAAGGCCAUGGAGCAUGGAUCGUCCUCUGUAGAUGCAGGGUGUUUCAAUCCCUUGCUCUUCUGUAUGAGAAAUCCCUUUCAUGCUCACGAAAUCGGCACCCGCAUCAAGGCACUCAACCAGAGGCUUGACACCAUCAAGGAGCGGAGCGCUGCUUUCAACUUUAUCAAUCUUGGGUCCUACGAGCAUCAUAGCAGCAAUGUGAAUGCCUCUCGUCAUGGUGAUCCCAGCCGCGAGAUGUCAGGGGAGCUCGACCGGUCAGGUGUGGUUGGGGAUCAGAUCGAAGAAGAUACUAGAGCACUGGUGGCUCAGAUCAUGCAAACAAGUGAGGAGGUCAAUGGCAAAAUCAUGGUGGUUGCCAUUGUAGGUGUUGGUGGGAUUGGCAAGACAACCCUCGCUCAGAAGGUCUUCAAUGACGAGGCCAUCCAAGGUGAGUUCAUUAAAAAGAUAUGGUUGAGCGUCAACCAAAACUUCAAUGAGGCUGAGCUGCUGAGAAGAGUCAUCAUCGAAGCCGGAGGAGACGCCCAGUCAGCUGGAAAUGCAAAGGCAACACUUCACAGAAGCCUCAAGGGCGCCUUGAUUGGCCACAAGACCUUGCUUGUAAUGGAUGAUGUGUGGAACCAUGGAGCAUGGGAUGGUGUGCUCAAAAUACCCUUAGUCGAUGUUGUUGCUUCAGGCAGCCGUGUCCUCAUCACCACUAGAGAUGAAGGUGUUGCCCGAAGGAUGACAGCCACAUGGCCCUACCACCACGUCGAUGCAUUAGCACCCGACGAUGCUUGGUCAUUGCUCAAGAAGCAGGUACUCUCAAGUGAGAUAGAUGAAUACCACAUCACUAUGCUAAAGGACAUCGGACUGAAAAUUAUACAAAAAUGUGGUGGUUUACCACUUGCCGUCAAAGUAAUGGGAGGAUUCUUGCGUAGAAGAGGGGAGUUGCGUCGAGACUGGGAGCAGGUUUUGGAUGAUUCUAAAUGGUCAAUAACUGAAAUGCCCCAAGAGCUCAGCUAUGCAGUAUACUUGAGCUAUCAAGAUAUGCCUCCUCAUCUGAAGCAGUGCUUUCUAUAUUACUCUCUUCUUCCUCAAAAUAAAACUUAUUAUGCACAUGAAGUCGUUGCCUUGUGGAUUAGCGAAGGAUUUGUUCAUGGAAGCUCAAAUGAUCUAGAAGAAUUGGGAAUAAAUUACUAG